RNAcentral lists this ribosomal RNA (321 nucleotides) under uncultured eukaryote. RNAcentral describes it as "partial 18S ribosomal RNA". It matches the Rfam family "Eukaryotic small subunit ribosomal RNA", at positions 1470 to 1796 of the family's 1831-position model. The record is from RNAcentral.
CCCUUAGAUGCUCUGGGCCGCACGCGCGCUACACUGGUCGAUGCAACGAGUUUCUUUCCUUGGCCGACAGGCCUGGGCAAUCUUUGAACAUCGAUCGUGAUCGGGAUAGAUUCUUGCAAUUAUGGGUCUUCAACGAGGAAUUCCUAGUAAACGCAAGUCAUCAGCUUGCAUUGAUUACGUCCCUGCCCUUUGUACACACCGCCCGUCGCACCUACCGAUUGAAUGGUCCGGUGAAAUCUCGGGACGGCGGCUUGGUCGCUUGCGUCCGACUGCUGAAACUUGAUUAAACCAUAUCAUUUAGAGGAAGGUGAAGUCGUAACA